RNAcentral lists this ribosomal RNA (434 nucleotides) under uncultured Lachnospiraceae bacterium. RNAcentral's name for it is "partial 16S ribosomal RNA". It matches the Rfam family "Bacterial small subunit ribosomal RNA", at positions 341 to 792 of the family's 1533-position model. The record is from RNAcentral. Lineage: Bacteria; Bacillati; Bacillota; Clostridia; Lachnospirales; Lachnospiraceae.
ACGGAAGGCAGCAGUGGGGAAUAUUGCACAAUGGGCGAAAGCCUGAUGCAGCGACGCCGCGUGAGUGAAGAAGUAUCUCGGUAUGUAAAGCUCUAUCAGCAGGGAAGAAAAUGACGGUGCCUGACUAAGAAGCCCCGGCUAACUACGUGCCAGCAGCCGCGGUAAUACGUAGGGGGCAAGCGUUAUCCGGAUUUACUGGGUGUAAAGGGAGCGUAGACGGUUUGGCAAGUCUGAAGUGAAAUGCGGGGGCUCAACUCCUGAACUGCUUUGGAAACUGUCGAACUAGAGUGCAGGAGAGGUAAGUGGAAUUCCUAGUGUAGCGGUGAAAUGCGUAGAUAUUAGGAGGAACACCAGUGGCGAAGGCGGCUUACUGGACUGUAACUGACGUUGAGGCUCGAAAGCGUGGGGAGCAAACAGGAUUAGAUACCCUGGUA